Molecule: ribosomal RNA, 468 nt
Filed under: uncultured bacterium
Lineage: Bacteria
Description: partial 16S ribosomal RNA
Rfam family: Bacterial small subunit ribosomal RNA
Source: RNAcentral
GACGAACGCUGGCGGCGUGCUUAACACAUGCAAGUCGAACGGAAAGGCCCUGCUUUUGUGGGGUGCUCGAGUGGCGAACGGGUGAGUAACACGUGAGUAACCUGCCCUUGACUUUGGGAUAACUUCAGGAAACUGGGGCUAAUACCGGAUAGGAGCUCCUGCUGCAUGGUGGGGGUUGGAACGUUUCGGCGGUUGGGGAUGGACUCGCGGCUUACCAGCUUGUUGGUGGGGUAGUGGCUUACCAAGGCUUUGACGGGUAGCCGGCCUGGGAGGGUGACCGGCCACAUUGGGACUGAGAUACGGACCAGACUCCUACGGGAGGCAGCAGUGGGGAAUAUUGCACAAUGGGCGGAAGCCUGAUGCAGCAACGCCGCGUGCGGGAUGACGGCCUUCGGGUUGUAAACCGCUUUCGCCUGUGACGAAGCGUGAGUGACGGUAAUGGGUAAAGAAGCACCGGCUAACUACGUG